GAUUCUGGCUCAGGAUGAACGCUGGCGGCGUGCCUAAUACAUGCAAGUGAAACGGGUAUCUUCGGAUACCAGUCGCGGACGGGUGAGUAAUACAUAGGCAACCUGCCUUUAUGAGGGGGAUAACCGAGGGAAACUUUGGCUAAUACCGCAUGAAGACUCUAAGGCAUCUUAGAGGGAUAAAAGUUGGGAAACAACGCAUGAAGAUGGGCUUAUGGCGCAUUAGCUAGUUGGUGAGAUAGAAGCCCACCAAGGUAAUGAUGCGUAGCCGACCUGAGAGGGUGAACGGCCACAUUGGGACUGAGACACGGCCCAAACUCCUACGGGAGGCAGCAGUAGGGAAUUUUCGGCAAUGGGGGGAACCCUGACCGAGCAACGCCGCGUGAAGGAAGAAGGUUUUCGGAUUGUAAACUUCUGUUAUAAGGGAAGAACGGAUUGGAUAGGGAAUGAUCUGAUAGUGACGGUACCUUAUUAGAAAGCCACGGCUAACUACGUGCCAGCCGCCGC
Molecule: ribosomal RNA, 504 nt
Filed under: uncultured bacterium
Lineage: Bacteria
Description: bacterial SSU rRNA
Rfam family: Bacterial small subunit ribosomal RNA
Source: RNAcentral